UGCCCAGCAACUCCUAUCCCUACCUCCUCGUGGUACUGGCUGGGUUACGAGUAACCUUAGGGAAGAUCGGGUAGCGGUGGGAGCUUUGGUCGUAUGCUGACAGGGAGGG
This 109-nucleotide ribozyme is filed under the name Aedes aegypti (yellow fever mosquito). RNAcentral describes it as "drz-agam-1 ribozyme". It matches the Rfam family "drz-agam-1 ribozyme". Lineage: Eukaryota; Metazoa; Arthropoda; Insecta; Diptera; Culicidae. The record is from Rfam by way of RNAcentral.